Molecule: long non-coding RNA, 674 nt
Filed under: Struthio camelus australis
Lineage: Eukaryota; Metazoa; Chordata; Aves; Struthioniformes; Struthionidae
Description: lncRNA (ENSSCUG00000008994.1)
Source: RNAcentral
GUACUCACAUAACGAGCUGUAGAGGUGUAGCUGCAUUACAGAUCUGCAUUUUAGCAUAUUAUGUGGAUAUUCGUCAGCCUGGUCUUUGCAUAUGUGCUAGCCCACCUAGAUACAGGAGUGGACACAGGGGUAUCAGCUCCACACACCUUGUUCUCCCCCCAGUUUCACCAGGUUAAGCAAGUGGGAAUGCUGCUGGCUGGCCAGGAAAUCAGGACCAGCGACGAGGAGAUAAAAAACAACGUAUGGGAGAAGGGUUAUGUCUAUCCCUCAGAGGAAAUGAAGAAUUAGGAGGCAAAAAGUGGCAGCUCACUGCUUUGACUGUAAAAGUCUUGUUUCUAUGCAAGAACUGGAAGAGGAAGUUGCAGCUUGGCGUUUUUUCAAACAUGCAUUGGAAGAAUUAUUCUCCUCUGAAACUGUGGAACGAACACAGGAAAGACCACCUCUUGAAUUGCAAAGGUGCUGUUCUAGCUGAUCUCAUGAGACUUUUCCACAUAAGUAACCUGCACAGAAAACACCUCUACAAAGAAAUUUUCAAGUGUAAAUCUAGUCCCCAACAGUAUUACAAUUCCAUCAUUAAAAGUUCACGUCUUUUUCAAACUAUAACCGUCUAUUGUUUGAAUUUUUGUUUCCAACCUGUUAAACCCUACUGUAACUGCUCAGAUCAUGUCAGAUAG